AGAGUUUGAUCCUGGCUCAGAACGUACGCUGGCGGCACGCCUAACACAUGCAAGUCGAACGAAGUAGCAAUACUUAGUGGCAGACGGGUGAGUAACAUGUAGGUAUCUGCCCUUUGGCCUGGAAUAACACGAGGAAACUUGUGCUAAUACCGGAUAAGUCUUUACGGAGAAAGCUUUAUGCACCAUUGGAUGAGCCUGCACUUGAUUAGUUUGUUGGUGGGGUAAUGGCCUACCAAGACUGUGAUCAAUAGCUGAUUUGAGAGGAUGAUCAGCCACAUUGGGACUGAGACACGGCCCAAACUCCUACGGGAGGCAGCAGUGGGGAAUCUUGCACAAUGGAGGAAACUCUGAUGCAGCGAUGCCGCGUGAGUGAAGAAGGCCCUUGGGUUGUAAAGCUCUUUCGUCGGGGAAGAAAAUGACUGUACCCGAAUAAGAAGGUCCGGCUAACUUCGUGCCAGCAGCCGCGGUAAUACGAAGGGACCUAGCGUAGUUCGGAAUUACUGGGCUUAAAGAGUUCGUAGGUGGUUGAAAUAGUUGGUGGUGAAAUCCCAGAGCUUAACUCUGGAACUGCCAUCAAAACUUUUCAGCUAGAGUAUGAUAGAGGAAAGCAGAAUUUCUAGUGUAGAGGUGAAAUUCGUAGAUAUUAGAAAGAAUACCAAAUGCGAAGGCAGCUUUCUGGAUCAUUACUGACACUGAGGAACGAAAGCAUGGGUAGCGAAGAGGAUUAGAUACCCUCGUAGUCCAUGCCGUAAACGAUGUGUGUUAGACGUUGGAAAUUUAUUUUCAGUGUCGCAGGGAAACCGAUAAACACACCGCCUGGGGAGUACGACCGCAAGGUUAAAACUCAAAUGAAUUGACGGGGACCCGCACAAGUAGUGGAGCAUGUGGUUUAAUUCGAAGAUACGCGCAGAACCUUACCAACACUUGACAUGUUCGUCGCGACUCUAAGAGAUUAGAGUUUUCGGUUCGGCCGGACGAAACACAGGUGCUGCAUGGCUGUCGUCAGCUCGUGUCGUGAGAUGUUGGGUUAAGUCCCGCAACGAGCGCAACCCUCACUUUUAGUUGCCAUCAUUAAGUUGGGCACUCUGAAAGAACUGCCAGUGAUAAGCUGGAGGAAGGUGGGGAUGACGUCAAGUCCUCAUGGCCCUUACGUGUUGGGCUACACACGUGCUACAAUGGUAUCUACAACAGGAAGCAAGACUGCGAAGUUAAGCAAAUCCCUAAAAGAUACCUCAGUUCGGAUUGCACUCUGCAACUCGAGUGCAUGAAGCUGGAAUUACUAGUAAUCGUGGAUCAGCGUGCCACGGUGAAUGCGUUCCCGGGUCUUGUACACACCGCCCGUCACACCAUGGGAGUUGGUUCUACCUUAAGGCAAGGUUUUAAACCCUUGACCACGGUAUAGUCAGCGACUGGGGUGAAGUCGUAACAAGGUAACC
This 1436-nucleotide ribosomal RNA is filed under the name uncultured Pelagibacterales bacterium. RNAcentral's name for it is "bacterial SSU rRNA". It matches the Rfam family "Bacterial small subunit ribosomal RNA". The record is from RNAcentral. Lineage: Bacteria; Pseudomonadati; Pseudomonadota; Alphaproteobacteria; Candidatus Pelagibacterales.